GCCUGGGUGGCUCAGUACGUUGAGCAUCUGACUCCAGCUCAGGUCAUGAUCUCACGGUUCGUGAGUUCAAGCCCCACAUCGGGCU
Non-coding RNA from Felis catus (domestic cat), 85 nucleotides. The record is from Rfam. Lineage: Eukaryota; Metazoa; Chordata; Mammalia; Carnivora; Felidae.